RNAcentral lists this ribosomal RNA (465 nucleotides) under uncultured bacterium. Its description in RNAcentral is "partial 16S ribosomal RNA". It matches the Rfam family "Bacterial small subunit ribosomal RNA", at positions 28 to 507 of the family's 1533-position model. The record is from RNAcentral.
GAUGAACGCUGGCGGCGUGCUUAACACAUGCAAGUCGAACGGAAAGGCCCAAGCUUGCUUGGGUACUCGAGUGGCGAACGGGUGAGUAACACGUGGGUGAUCUGCCCUGCACUUCGGGAUAAGCCUGGGAAACUGGGUCUACUACCGGAUAGGACCACAUUUUGGAUGGUGUGGUGGAAAGUUUUUCGGUUUGGGAUGGUCUCGGGGCCUAUCAGCUUGUUGGUGGGGUAAUGGCCUACCAAGGCGUCGACGGGUAGCCGGCCUGUGAGGGUGUACGGCCACAGUGGGACUGAGAUAAGGCCCAGAAUGCAACGGGAGGCAGCAGUGGGGAAUAUUGCACAAUGGGCGCAAGCCUGAUGCAGCGACGCCGCGUGGGGGAUGACGGCCUUCGGGUUGUAAACUCAUUUCGCUAGGGACGAAGCGCAAGUGACGGUACCUGGAGAAGAAGCACCGGCUAACUACGUG